Molecule: transfer RNA, 68 nt
Filed under: Sceliphron madraspatanum
Lineage: Eukaryota; Metazoa; Arthropoda; Insecta; Hymenoptera; Sphecidae
Description: tRNA-Gly
Source: RNAcentral
AUAUUUUUAGUAUAUAAAUUAAUUACAUUUGAUUUCCAAUCAAAAAAUUCUAAUUAAAGAAAAAUAUA